UACGUGGGGAGCGAGCGUUGUUCGGAAUUACUGGGCGUAAAGCGCGUGUAGGCGGCUGUCUAUGUCAGGUGUGAAAGCCCUCGGCCUAACCGAGGAAGUGCGCCUGAAACUGGAUGGCUUGAGUACGAGAGAGGAGUACGGAAUUCCCAGUGUAGAGGUGAAAUUCGUAGAUAUUGGGAGGAACACCGGCGGCGAAAGCGGUUCUCUAGAUCGAUACUGACGCUAAGACGCGAAAGCGUGGGGAGCAAACAGG
RNAcentral lists this ribosomal RNA (253 nucleotides) under uncultured bacterium. RNAcentral describes it as "partial 16S ribosomal RNA". It matches the Rfam family "Bacterial small subunit ribosomal RNA", at positions 524 to 776 of the family's 1533-position model. The record is from RNAcentral.